RNAcentral lists this long non-coding RNA (1990 nucleotides) under Calidris pugnax (ruff). RNAcentral's name for it is "lncRNA (ENSCPUG00000005046.1)". The record is from RNAcentral. Lineage: Eukaryota; Metazoa; Chordata; Aves; Charadriiformes; Scolopacidae.
AUACAAAUCUGUCUUUUACUUGCUUGUUUAAUUGACAUUUGCCUGCAUUCCUGCAUUUGUUAGAUCCAUUUUAACAAACCGAGUAGAAAUAAAGGACUUCAGAAUAUCUGGGGUGCUGCAGCUGAAACCAGCUUCUGAACUGAAGCAAAUCUGUGUCUUUUUAGCGAAAUGAAUAGACCCCUUCAGCCCGAACCAGCUGGGAACCAACCCCUUUUGGGCUGUUUUCUGGAAAUACUUUAAUAGAAUUCAUUCCCACAGUAAAUACAAACGUCAUUGUCCUGAGCUGCUGCUUUUGGGACAAGACUUACAUACGCUGUCUUUGAAUUUAAAACUCUCUGGUCAUUUUACUGUCCGCAUUUCUGACUGACACAAUAUGUUGGUUUCACACACACACACACAGAGCAAAUUGCUAUCUAUAUUUUGCCAGUUUUCUCCCCUUAUACUAUCUAUAUUUUGCCAGUUUUCUCCCCUUAUUUUUUUCCGGGGGCGGGGUGGGGAGGAGGUAGGGUGGUAUAAUUUCCCCCUCCUUUCCUUGGCUGUCAAAUUAGGUCCCGGCAGUCCGAGGAGAGCUGGUGCUGUCCCCAGGCGGUGCUCAGCCCCGGGGGAUGCUGCGGGGGGGGGAUGGCAUUCCUCGCGUUUCCCGAGGGAGCCAGGCAGCCCGGGGCAGCCCGUGCCCGUCCCGGGGGAUGCCCGAGGCACCACAGGUCUCUCCAGCACCGCACUCCCUGCCCAGCGCUGCUCCGGUGCCCCCUCCCGCCUUUCCCUGCCCGGCGAGGCGAAGGAAGGGGUGAAGUUCUCCGUGUCCCUCUGCCACGGGGGCAGCCGCUCCGUGAGGAAGCCCCGGGUGGCCCCCGCACAGCCCACAGAGGUAAAAAGCCCCAAGUCAGGAAGGAUUGGCAGAGUUAUUUGGAGAAGACAGCAGAAGUUGGAGAGGCAAGGCUCAAGGACUGAAUACCGCUCCCCUGGGCAGCCUGUUCCAGUGUUUGACAACCCUUUUGGUGAAGACAUUUUUCCUAAAGCCAGCCUAAGCUUCCCCUGGCCCCUCCUUGAGGCCAUUUCCUCUUCUCCUAUCAUAAACUGAUCAAACACCAUCUCAAAACUCAUUCGGGAACAGUUUGUCUUAACAGGAUCUAGGGUGAAGAUUUUUCAAAGAUCUUCCUGGUUCUGUCCAUAUGUUUACCUCUUGAAAACUGGGUCAGGAGUGAAACCCCUGAAUCUUUUUAAAAUAUGUCAAAUUGUGCACCCAAACAUUGAAGGAUUCACCACUGAUAAACACUUCUGAAAAUGUGAAGCCCACAGAGGUAAAAAGCCCCAAAUCAGGGUUCUGUCCAUACGUUUACCUCUUGAAAACUGGGUCAGGAGUGAAACCCCUGAAUCUUUUUAAAAUAUGUCAAAUUGUGCACCCAAACAUUGAAGGAUUCACCACUGAUAAACACUUCUGAAAAUGUGAAGCCCACAGAGGUAAAAAGCCCCAAGUCAGGAAGGAUUGGCAGAGUUAUUUGGAGAAGACAGCAGAAGUUGGAGAGGGAAGGCUCAAGGACUGAACAAAAAGCCCACCUCUAGAGCUCUACUGAUGCAUUCAACUCAGCUGAGAGUUUUACAGGUGAGAGGUUGUCCUCAUCUCUAACUUCAUCUGCAGAUACAAACUAGGAGAAUUUUGCAAUAUAGGGAAUGCAGAAUUGUCAUCAUGCAGGAAUGCCAAGGGGGCAGAAGUGCUGACUAAAAGGGGUUUGAGUGCUCAGGAAUCUACCAAUCUACUCACAUAUAUUGGUUCUGAGGGAAAAGUAGAGAGUUCCUCAAACAGAAAGACAUCUAGGGGAUGCCCAGAGGGGAACUGGACUGAGCUUGAAUGGUGGGAAGAAACGAAAAUAAGACCGGAAAAAUGAAUUGAAGAAAUGGGGGAGUACUAUUUGGGGAAAAGAGAAAAGAGCAAGAUAGACUUUUUUUAUUCUGUGUAAAGCAAUAAAUACCUAUAAGCAAUCUCUUUUCA